RNAcentral lists this unclassified non-coding RNA (336 nucleotides) under fungal sp. RNAcentral's name for it is "partial internal transcribed spacer region". The stretch from base 1 to 45 matches the Rfam family "Eukaryotic small subunit ribosomal RNA", at positions 1787 to 1831 of the family's 1831-position model. The record is from RNAcentral. Lineage: Eukaryota; Fungi.
AGUCGUAACAAGGUUUCCGUAGGUGAACCUGCGGAAGGAUCAUUAGAGAAAAGAAGUGGCUGGGUUAGUUGGGCUGGUUGGGCUGGUUGGCUGAUGCCGACUAGCUAGCUGGCUGGCUGGCUGGCCGAUGCUGGAUGGGAAAUGCUGACGGGGAAUUGCCGCGGAUGCUGGGGCUGAUGGAGAAAUACCGGAUGCUGGGGCUGACGGGGAAGUACCGGCCGGAGGCUUUCUCUACACUUGCUCUCGCAAGAGAGUGAGCAAACACUAUUGUAUUCUGACAUGGCAAAACAAAGCAAAACACUGAUAUUACUUUUAACAACGGAUCUCUGGGCUCCC